This 3584-nucleotide long non-coding RNA is filed under the name Canis lupus familiaris (dog). Its description in RNAcentral is "lncRNA (ENSCAFG00000056891.1)". Lineage: Eukaryota; Metazoa; Chordata; Mammalia; Carnivora; Canidae. The record is from RNAcentral.
AUUCCAGUAUAGUUUAUAUAAUUGAGUGGUUUAAAUCUCAAGAAGAACAAUAAAAAUAAGAAAUAGACAUGCAUAGAACAAUGUUGGUAACUUGCCGUAAAGAUUUGUUAUUACUGUUCUGUUGUAUGUUUGCUGGUUUUUUUUUUGUUUUGUUUUUUGUUUGUUUUUUGUUUGUUUGGUUUUUUUUUUUUUUCUUUUUUUUUUUUUGACAGAGAGAGAGCACAUGAGUGAGUGUGCAGUGGGGGAGAGAGGGAGAGGCGGAGGGGGACGGAGGGAGGGAGAGAGACUCUUAAGCAGGCUCCCUGCCCAGGCAGGGCCGGGAAUCCUGACCCUGAGAUCACGACCUGAGCUGAAAGCAAGAGUCAGUCUCUUAACCGACUGAGCCACUCAAGCUGUUCUCAUCUUUAAAGACAUAUUUUUAGUUCUCUUUUCACUAGAGUUCCGUAGAUGAUUGCACACCCAGAACUGAGGCAUAAGGAGCGACAGGCAGGGGCAUGGAUGAUUUUAUUCUGAUGGUUACAGACCAUGGCAGAGAUGGUGUGCCCAGCCCCUGCACCUUACAGCAGCUGCCUAAUUCUGAGUUCCCACAUCACUGUGCGGCAACACCACCCAGGACAGCCGUAUCCUACGGUGUGGUGGGGGAUCGUUGCUGGCAGCUCAGCCCUCCCAAUGAAUGCAUGUGCUAUUUACAUUACACUUAACAGUAAGUUUUUUUCCAGCCUAAAUUAUCUAGCGUGGAGUCCACUCUCUGUAACCAAGACCUCUACAAAACAGAGGGAGUUUAAAAAUCAUUGUAUUUUCAAACUUUACCCAGAUGUAUGACAACAUGAAGAGUUUGAAAUAGAUGUAUUACUUUGCUAGGGCUGCAGUAACAAAGUACCACAAACAGGAUGGGUAAAUACGUUAUUGGUUUUUGGUUUUUUGUGUUUGUCGGUUGGUUGUUGGUUUCUUUUUAGUUUUAGCAAAUACUGAGUAUUAUUAAGCUUCUCAGUAUGAACGCUAUGUGCCAAAUUAUAAUUGUGAUAAAUAUGGCUUGAUGGUAGUAGCUAUAAAACAGAUAGCUUAAAAUAACUAAGUUUACUUUACAAUCCAAACACGCUAAAAAAAAAAAAAAAAAAAAAAAAAAAAAAAAAAAAAACAAACACGCUAACACAGGAACUAAAAACUGAAAUUUUGUAAUGGUUCUUAUAGGUCUUAGAAAUACAGCUGUCCGGUAGAAGAAAUGUAAAUGAUCCUACUACAGAAUCUUCAAUGUUGGACUUCCUACCACAUUUAUCCAUGGCUACAUUUACCAGCAACAUGAACAACUGCUAAAAAUUCCAUAUCUUCUUGUUACAAAACAAAUAUGGAUCUUGUUUUCACUGUCUGUAAAUCAUGCUAAAUCAACCCAUCACAGGUUCCUUUGGUUGAAAUAAGAAAUACAACCUAACCAUUUCUAAUUCAAAUCCAAUCUUAAUUAUGGAAUACCUGUCAAAGGUGACUAGGAGAUAUCUUCGUUUUAAUUUGACUAGAGAAUUUUUUUCCACACAGAAUAGGCCACAUCUGUAAGAGUAUAGCAAUAUCUGAACUCUUGAAUACAUUUCUUCAAGUGGUAAAGUUUCUCAGAAAGGGAUUCAAGUGUGAUACAGAAAGCAAAAAGUAUUAUAACUUUCAAAAUAUUGAGUUUGUCUUUAAAUAGACAAGUUCAACAAAAGGUUAAGAUCAAUAACAUUUUUCUAAAAUAAAUGUCUUUAUUCAACCACAGUUCAGAGGGCAAACAUUUUUAAUUGCCCACAGUGUCCAUGGAGUUAUACUGAUGUUCGUCAAAAAAAUUCCCAUAUGUACACACACAAUCACGCCUAGACAUUUAUAACAAAAAAUUAGUAUGAUACAUGACAUACUAUGAUAUAUGACAUACUAUGAAACAUAUGACCAUCUCAAUAGAUGGAGAAAUAAAAUCAUUUGACAAAAUUCAACAUCUGUUCAUGAUAAAAAAAAAAAACUCAACAAAGUGGGUUUAGAGGGAACAUAUCUCAACAUAGUAAAGGGCAUAUAUGAAAAACCCAUAGCUAACACCAUACUCAAUGGUGGAUAACUGAGAGCUUUUCUUCUAAAAUCAGAGAGAUGACAAGGAUGUCCACUCCCACGACUUUUAUUCAACACAAUAUCGGAAGUGCUGGCUGUAGCAAACAGAUAAGAAAAAGAAAUAAAAGGCAUCCAAAUCAGUAAGGAAGAAGUAAAACUUUCACUAACUGCAGAUAACAUGACACUAUACAUAGAAACUCUAAAGACUCCACCAACAAACUAUGUGAAUAAAUGAAUUCAGUAAAGUUGCAGGAUAUAAAAUUAAUAUACAGGGGAUCCCUGAGUGGCUCAGCAGUUUCGCGCCUGCCUUCGGCAGGGGCAUGAUCCUGGAGUCCCUGGAUCGAGUCCCACAUCAGGCUCCCUGCGUGGAGCCUGCUUCUCCCUCUGCCUGUGUCUCUGCCUCUCUCUCUCUCUGUGUCUCUCAUGAAUAAAUAAAUAAAAUAUUAAAAAUUAAAAAAUUAAAAAAUGAAAUAAAAUUACUAUACAGAAAUCUGCUGCAUUGCUAUACACAGAGAACAAAGUAGCAGAAAGAGAAAUUAAGAAAACAACCCUAUUUACCAUUAUACCGAAAAGAAUAAAACACCUAGGAAUACAUUUAACCAAAGAGGGAAAAGACCUGUACUCUGAAAACUAUAAGACACUGAUGAAAGAAAUUUAAGAUAAUACAAACAAAUGAAAAGUUAUACCAGGCUCAUGGAUUAGAAUAAUUAUAGCAUUAAAAUAUCCAUACUACCCAAAGCAAACCACAGAUUUAAUGCAAUCUCUAUUAAAAUACCAGUAGCAUCUUUCAUAGAACUAGAAAAAAUAACUCUAAAAUUUGUGUGAAGCCACAAAAGACCUUAAAUAGCCAAAGUAAUCUUGAGAAAAAAGAACAAAGCUGGAAGUAUCACAAAAAUCUGAGAUUUCAAGAUGUUUUACAAAGGUGUAGUAAUCAAAACAGUAUGGUCCUGGGACAGAAACAGACACUUAGAUCAAUGGAAAAGGAUACAGGUCAGAAAUGAACCCAUACCUAUUUAUACAGUCAACUAAUCUACAAGAAAGGAAGCAAAAAUAUACAGAAAAGACAGACUCUUCAACAAAUGUGUUAGGAAAACUGGACAGCCACAUGCAAAAGAAUGCAAGUGAAUCACUUUAAUACACCAUGCACAAAAAUAAACUCAAAAUGGAUUAAACACCUAAAUGGGAGCCCUGAAACCAUAAAAGUCCUAAAAUGAAACACAGGCAGUAAUCUCUUGGACGUCAGCCUUGGCAACAUCUUUAUAGCUCGGUCUCCUCAGGCAAGGGAAACAAAAGCAAAAAAAAUGUGCAGCAUAAGGAAUAGUCAAUGAUAUUGUAAUAGUGAUGUAACAGGACAGAGGAUGGCUAUACUUGGCGAACACAGCCUGAUGUAUAAACUCGUCAAAUGGGUAAGUUGUACACCUGAAACUAAUGUAACAUUGGGUGUCAACUAUGCUCAAGAUAAUAACAUAAAAUAAAAACAAACUAUUGGGACUACGCUAAAAAAAAAAAAAAAAAAAAAA